GCUACGGGUGGCAGCAGUGGGGAAUAUUGCACAAUGGGCGCAAGCCUGAUGCAGCCAUGCCGCGUGUGUGAAGAAGGCCUUCGGGUUGUAAAGCACUUUCAGCGGGGAGGAAGGCGUUAAGGUUAAUAACCUUGGCGAUUGACGUUACCCGCAGAAGAAGCACCGGCUAACUCCGUGCCAGCAGCCGCGGUAAUACGGAGGGUGCAAGCGUUAAUCGGAAUUACUGGGCGUAAAGCGCACGCAGGCGGUCUGUCAAGUCGGAUGUGAAAUCCCCGGGCUCAACCUGGGAACUGCAUUCGAAACUGGCAGGCUAGAGUCUUGUAGAGGGGGGUAGAAUUCCAGGUGUAGCGGUGAAAUGCGUAGAGAUCUGGAGGAAUACCGGUGGCGAAGGCGGCCCCCUGGACAAAGACUGACACUCAGGUGCGAAAGCGUGGGGAGCAAACAGGAUUAGAUACCCGAGUAGUC
This 465-nucleotide ribosomal RNA is filed under the name uncultured Klebsiella sp. RNAcentral's name for it is "bacterial SSU rRNA". It matches the Rfam family "Bacterial small subunit ribosomal RNA", at positions 338 to 795 of the family's 1533-position model. The record is from RNAcentral. Lineage: Bacteria; Pseudomonadati; Pseudomonadota; Gammaproteobacteria; Enterobacterales; Enterobacteriaceae.